This 64-nucleotide transfer RNA is filed under the name Physella acuta. Its description in RNAcentral is "tRNA-Leu". The record is from RNAcentral. Lineage: Eukaryota; Metazoa; Mollusca; Gastropoda; Physidae.
UUUAAGAUGGCAGAUAAAAUGCAUAGACUUUAAGCGUCUAAGAUGGGUUAAGUCCCUCUUAAAA